Molecule: ribosomal RNA, 474 nt
Filed under: uncultured bacterium
Lineage: Bacteria
Description: bacterial SSU rRNA
Rfam family: Bacterial small subunit ribosomal RNA
Source: RNAcentral
GACGAACGCUGGCGGCGUGCUUAACACAUGCAAGUCGAGCGAGCCCCUUCCUUCGGGAGGGUGUGCUAGCGGCGAACGGGUGAGUAACACGUGGGCAACCUGCCCUCAGCUCUGGGAUAACUCCAAGAAAUUGGGGCUAAUACCGGAUAUGACUGCUGACCGCAUGGUCUGGUGGUGGAAAGAUUUAUCGGCUGGGGAUGGGCGGCCUAUCAGCUUGUUGGUGGGGUAGUGGCCUACCAAGGCGACGACGGGUAGCCGGCCUGAGAGGGUGACCGGCCACACUGGGACUGAGACACGGCCCAGACUCCUACGGGAGGCAGCAGUGGGGAAUAUUGGACAAUGGGCGCAAGCCUGAUCCAGCAAUGCCGCGUGAGUGAGGAAGGCCUUAGGGUUGUAAAGCUCUUUCGCACGCGACGAUGAUGACGGUAGCGUGAGAAGAAGCCCGGCUAACUUCGUGCCAGCAGCCGCAGUAAU